RNAcentral lists this ribosomal RNA (445 nucleotides) under uncultured bacterium. RNAcentral's name for it is "bacterial SSU rRNA". It matches the Rfam family "Bacterial small subunit ribosomal RNA", at positions 330 to 792 of the family's 1533-position model. The record is from RNAcentral.
CCCAGACUCCUACGGGAGGCAGCAGUGGGGAAUAUUGCACAAUGGGGGAAACCCUGAUGCAGCGACGCCGCGUGAAGGAUGAAGUAUUUCGGUAUGUAAACUUCUCUCAGCAGGGAAGAAAAUGACGGUACCUGACUAAGAAGCCCCGGCUAACUACGUGCCAGCAGCCGCGGUAAUACGUAGGGGGCAAGCGUUAUCCGGAUUUACUGGGUGUAAAGGGAGCGUAGACGGCAGUGCAAGUCCGGAGUGAAAGCCCGGGGCCCAACCCCGGGACUGCUCUGGAAACUGCGGCGCUGGAGUACGGGAGGGGCAGGCGGAAUUCCUGGUGUAGCGGUGAAAUGCGUAGAUAUCAGGAGGAACACCGGCGGCGAAGGCGGCCUGCUGGACCGUGACUGACGUUGAGGCUCGAGAGCGUGGGGAGCAAACAGGAUUAGAUACCCCUGUA